This 672-nucleotide long non-coding RNA is filed under the name Triticum aestivum (bread wheat). RNAcentral describes it as "long non-coding RNA (TAES_LNC012711)". The record is from RNAcentral. Lineage: Eukaryota; Viridiplantae; Streptophyta; Magnoliopsida; Poales; Poaceae.
AUGAAGAUGGAUGGGGUUGAGGGCUGGGAGAAAGAUGUUGUAUUGCAAGAAGAAGUUGGUUAAGAAGACUGACGAUUAUGAGAAUGAAGGACACAAACUUUUGAAUUAGACCAAUUGUUUGAUCGAUCAUUUUUGUUCUCUUGAAAAUGAUAUAUGGUCAAUUUUAGUAUUCUGAUGUGAUUGAAGAAUAUAGGAGGGACAAAGAGAUGUGCUAUUGCCAGGACAGUUAUGACUCUCUAUUAAGGUAUUCAGGUAUGAUUCUCCAUGGUCAUGCUUCUCAUGUUCACCUGGAAGUUUAUUGAUGGGAGGGAAGCCACUUCUGCUUUGAUGAUUUCUUGGAAGUUCAGGUUAAAACACUUUCACUCUUAAAGUCUGUUUAUCAAUUCUUUGGAUAACCUAUUUAAUGAUUGGUUUUGAUUUUCAUACAGCUAGGUGAAUUUACAAUACAAGUCAGAUUAUUUGUGAGAGAAUUUCAUUCCCUAGAAUCAUUGUCAUUCUUGUUGCCUACAAGGUACUUGAAGAAAAUGCCCGAGACAUAUUUUAAGGAGUAUAACUCAGCACUAAGGCUAUUAUUACAAUGAUGGAAUCUUUGUUGUGGUAGUUAUGUCUCCAAAUGCGUCGAUCCCUAUCGGCUACUGAAGUAAACUUAUUUAUUUUUUCUGUGUAGAUUUC